This 408-nucleotide ribosomal RNA is filed under the name uncultured bacterium. RNAcentral describes it as "bacterial SSU rRNA". It matches the Rfam family "Bacterial small subunit ribosomal RNA", at positions 506 to 913 of the family's 1533-position model. The record is from RNAcentral.
UGCCAGCAGCCGCGGUAAUACGGGGGGGGUAAGCGUUGUUCGGAAUUACUGGGCGUAAAGGGCUCGUAGGCGGCCAACUAAGUCAUACGUGAAAUCCCUCAGCUUAACUGGGGAACUGCGUGUGAUACUGGAUGGCUUGGAUUUGGGAGAGGGAUGCGGAAUUCCAGGUGUAGCGGUGAAAUGCGUAGAUAUCUGGAGGAACACCGGUGGCGAAGGCGGCAUCCUGGACCAAUAUUGACGCUGAGGAGCGAAAGCCAGGGGAGCAAGCGGGAUUAGAUACCCCGGUAGUCCUGGCCCUAAACGAUGAAUGCUUGGUGUAGCGGGUAUCGAUCCCUGCUGUGCCGAAGCUAACGCAUUAAGCAUUCCGCCUGGGGAGUACGGCCGCAAGGCUAAACUCAAAGAAUACGG